GUGCUCAUUUCUGCAGCACAUAUAUUAAAAUUGGAAUGAUAUAGAGAAGAUUAGCAUGGCCCCUGUGCAAGGAUGACAUGCAAACUGGUGAAGCAUUCCAUAUUUUU
Molecule: small nuclear RNA, 107 nt
Filed under: Jaculus jaculus (lesser Egyptian jerboa)
Lineage: Eukaryota; Metazoa; Chordata; Mammalia; Rodentia; Dipodidae
Source: RNAcentral